GACGAACGCUGGCGGCGUGCUUAACACAUGCAAGUCGAACGGAAAGGCCCUGCUUUUGUGGUGUUCUCGAGUGGCGAACGGGUGAGUAACACGUGAGUAACCUGCCCUUGACUUUGGGAUAACUUCAGGAAACUGGGGCUAAUACCGGAUAGGAGCUCCUGCUGCAUGGUGGGGGUUGGAAAGUUUCGGCGGUUGGGGAUGGACUCGCGGCUUAUCAGCUUGUUGGUGGGGUAGUGGCUUACCAAGGCUUUGACGGGUAGCCGGCCUGAGAGGGUGACCGGCCACAUUGGGACUGAGAUACGGCCCAGACUCCUACGGGAGGCAGCAGUGGGGAUUAUUGCACAAUGGGCGGAAGCCUGAUGCAGCAACGCCGCGUGCGGGAUGACGGCCUUCGGGUUGUAAACCGCUUUCGCCUGUGACGAAGCGUGAGUGACGGUAAUGGGUAAAGAAGCACCGGCUAACUACGUG
This 468-nucleotide ribosomal RNA is filed under the name uncultured bacterium. RNAcentral describes it as "partial 16S ribosomal RNA". It matches the Rfam family "Bacterial small subunit ribosomal RNA", at positions 28 to 507 of the family's 1533-position model. The record is from RNAcentral.